RNAcentral lists this ribosomal RNA (869 nucleotides) under uncultured organism. Its description in RNAcentral is "bacterial SSU rRNA". It matches the Rfam family "Bacterial small subunit ribosomal RNA", at positions 21 to 886 of the family's 1533-position model. The record is from RNAcentral.
GGCUCAGGAUGAACGCUAGCGGCAGGCCUAACACAUGCAAGUCGAGGGGUAACAUAAGUGCUUGCACUUGAUGACGACCGGCGCACGGGUGCGUAACGCGUAUACAAUCUGCCCUUUACUAAGGGAUAGCCCAUGGAAACGUGGAUUAAUAUCUUAUGGUAUCAUGACUGCGCAUGCAGACAUGGUUAAAGGUUACGGUAAAGGAUGAGUAUGCGUCCUAUUAGCUAUUAUGAGAGGUAACGGCUCCCAUAGGCGAUGAUAGGUAGGGGUUCUGAGAGGGAGAUCCCCCACACUGGUACUGAGACACGGACCAGACUCCUACGGGAGGCAGCAGUGAGGAAUAUUGGACAAUGGGAGCAAUCCUGAUCCAGCCAUGCCGCGUGCAGGAAGACGGUCCUAUGGAUUGUAAACUGCUUUUAUACAGGAAGAAAAAGCCCGACGUGUCGGGUGUUGACGGUACUGUAUGAAUAAGGAUCAGCUAACUCCGUGCCAGCAGCCGCGGUAAUACGGAGGAUCCGAGCGUUAUCCGGAAUUAUUGGGUUUAAAGGGUCCGUAGGCGGGAUAAUAAGUCAGUGGUGAAAGUUUGUGGCUCAACCAUAAAAUUGCCAUUGAUACUGUUAUUCUUGAGUAAUUGUGAAGUGGUUAGAAUGUGUAGUGUAGCGGUGAAAUGCAUAGAUAUUACACAGAAUACCAAUUGCGAAGGCAGAUCACUAACAAUUAACUGACGCUGAUGGACGAAAGCGUAGGUAGCGAACAGGAUUAGAUACCCUGGUAGUCUACGCAGUAAACGAUGGUUACUAGCUGUUCGGUCUAAUUAAGGGCUGAGUGGCCAAGCGAAAGUGAUCAGUAACCCACCUGGGGAGUACGUU